CGGUGACGAUAGCGAUGAGGUCCCACCUGUUCCCUUGCCGAACACAGUAGUUAAGCUCAUCUACGCCAAUGAUACUUGGCGGGCGACCGCCCGGGAAAAUAGGUAGUCGCCGG
Molecule: ribosomal RNA, 113 nt
Filed under: human gut metagenome
Source: RNAcentral